This is a long non-coding RNA of Phyllopteryx taeniolatus (common seadragon), 1805 nucleotides long. RefSeq lists it as uncharacterized. The record is from RefSeq and is a predicted model, not a curated record. The transcript is spliced from 3 exons. Lineage: Eukaryota; Metazoa; Chordata; Actinopteri; Syngnathiformes; Syngnathidae.
CAAUGCAAAAUAGAAUACACAAGCUAACAAAAGCAUCAACGUCGCUGUGUUCUAACCCUUUAAGCAACAGAUAUUUGAACACAAACUGUACAGCAAAAAAUGUAGACAGCCAUUAUGACAUUAUUUAAAGGCAUGCAUUCGUUACCCUCUGCGGAAAAUGACUAACUGCUGCAGUUUACUGAGCAGUUGUGAGUGUUUCCUUCGUGUACAUCCGUAUGUCUGUAUUAUACCGCCCGCUGGUGGCCAAAGCGCACAAUAUAGGGCUGGAACAGAUCAAUGGCAUUUACAUUCAUUUCAAUGGGGAAAGGUGAUGUGAGAUACAAGUCUUUGGAGUUGCGAUCAUGGUCACGGAACAACGUCAAGGUACCAUUGUAAUAUAAUCUAACAAUUAAGACUUAAGGGGAACUGACAGACUUAGCCCAGACCCUCAUAUAACAAUGUAAUCAAUCAUAUUAUGAGUAACUUAUAAUACAAGUUGUACACACACUGUAUACAAUUGUAGGCAUUUGUAUCGUAUUGCUUUUGUUCCCGAGGGAGUGUGUAUUUAUGAAAACACUGGCUGUUGGUGCCUGUGCGGGCCAACAUUUUUCCACUAGAUUGGACUCAUGAAAGGAGACGAUAUGUGGAACUCUUUACUCCAAACAAUGGCAUUACUUUUUUGCAGCACAUACUGUACACACAUACCCUGGUGGAGCUACACACACACGCGCACACAUGCACACAUACGCACCCACUUCCCCAACUCCAGCGCUUGAAGAUUUACCUGCCAGCUGCUGCCAGUCGCAAGGAAAGAUGGGCUUUGUUGGUUUUGUGAAGCCCACCGACAAGACCCCCCUGGAGACUGCAGGUCUCCUGUAGCACAAGCCUCAGUCUUAUCCACUCGGCUGCACAGGCAAUCUGUUUUCUAUAUUACCAGCCUGUAUCACUGUACUAUGCACUAUAGAACAGCAAUUGAGCAGGAAAUUAAGUUACGGGAUCGGUAUUUGGUGGAGGGGAACAAGCUGGCUCCCUUUCCACAUACAAGGAUCAUUAAAUAUCACACCAGUUUCUGGAUGAAUUUCCUCCUCUCUUUCUCUCUCUCCCCGUCUUUUACCUCUCCUUCUGUAUCUUUUGCUUUUCUACCUCGUCAUUCUCACGCGCUGCCUGUUUUUGCCUUGUCUUCCCGGAUUGGUCGUGUGUACGGAGUGAAACAUCCUAAUGGAAGUUUGAAGAGCCUGAUGUGUUUUACUCAAGCCGCUACCUCCCUUAGACACGGCACUCUGAAAUAAAGUGAAGUCAUGGAGGAAGAACUGAAACUAACAAACGACCAAGUCCUCAUUCGCACCACUACAGCAGGGGCCCAUAAUCAGCCAUGCAGUUGGGUCAUGGGUGAGCUGGAGCCUAUCCCAGCUGCCUUUGGGUGAGAGGCUGGGCAACGCACUGGACUGGAGAAAAUCCACACAAACACAGUGACUCGCUUACCACAUCCUCCACCCUGCUGCAAAACUAACUUGUUUUAAGUGAAACUACAACUGUAAGAAGCACUGAAUGAUUACAUGCACUGCAUGAAAACAGGGCCUGUUAAAAAUACUGACAUUUUUAAAUAGCGCUUGAAUCUCUCUUUUUUCAAUCAACACAACACUGUUUUGUUUUUUUGUUUUGUUUUAAUCAGUACAUUGCGCGAUGCAUUAGUGUACCUGUCAAUGCAAGACUGUGGCUGGCCCCACAGGUGACCUUAGACAUGUGGUCCAAGAUCUCCACAAAGCGAGAGAUGAUCACUUUUCAUCAAAAGUGCUGCCAAUUUGUUCAUAAUCCUUGUGCCUGUU